GAUUUCUGACUUGAUACAUUUUGCCGGCCGCUCUAUGGCGUGUUAGUGCAUUCUGUUCUGGUCAUCUUUCCAAUCGCUAGUUGCUUUUCUUUAUUGAUUGGCAAUUGGUAUUGGAUCUUUUACUUUGAAAAAAUUAGAGUGUUUCAAGCAGGCUUUUCUGCCAUGAAUACAUUAGCAUGGAAUAAUAAUUUAGGACUUCGGUUCUAUUUUGUUGGUUUCUAGGACUGAAGUAAUGAUUGAUAGGGAUAGUUGGGGGUGCUAGUAUUCAGCGGCCAGAGGUGAAAUUCUCGGAUUCGCUGAAGACUAACUUAUGCGAAAGCAUU
Molecule: ribosomal RNA, 323 nt
Filed under: Sandonidae sp.
Lineage: Eukaryota; Cercozoa; Glissomonadida; Sandonidae
Description: SSU rRNA
Rfam family: Eukaryotic small subunit ribosomal RNA (bases 110-323)
Source: RNAcentral